AACUCUGGUAUUGAUUGGUGCUUGCAUCAUGAUUUACAUUUGCCUGAGUGGCGAACUGGUGAGUAACACGUGGGAAACCUGCCCAGAAGCGGGGGAUAACACCUGGAAACAGAUGCUAAUACCGCAUAACAACUUGGACCGCAUGGUCCGAGUUUGAAAGAUGGCUUCGGCUAUCACUUUUGGAUGGUCCCGCGGCGUAUUAGCUAGAUGGUGGGGUAACGGCUCACCAUGGCAAUGAUACGUAGCCGACCUGAGAGGGUAAUCGGCCACAUUGGGACUGAGACACGGCCCAAACUCCUACGGGAGGCAGCAGUAGGGAAUCUUCCACAAUGGACGAAAGUCUGAUGGAGCAACGCCGCGUGAGUGAAGAAGGGUUUCGGCUCGUAAAACUCUGUUGUUAAAGAAGAACAUAUCUGAGAGUAACUGUUCAGGUAUUGACGGUAUUUAACCAGAAAGCCACGGCUAACUACGUGCCAGCAGCCGCGGUAAUACGUAGGUGGCAAGCGUUGUCCGGAUUUAUUGGGCGUAAAGCGAGCGCAGGCGGUUUUUUAAGUCUGAUGUGAAAGCCUUCGGCUCAACCGAAGAAGUGCAUCGGAAACUGGGAAACUUGAGUGCAGAAGAGGACAGUGGAACUCCAUGUGUAGCGGUGAAAUGCGUAGAUAUAUGGAAGAACACCAGUGGCGAAGGCGGCUGUCUGGUCUGUAACUGACGCUGAGGCUCGAAAGUAUGGGUAGCAAACAGGAUUAGAUACCCUGGUAGUCCAUACCGUANACGAUGAAUGCUAAGUGUUGGAGGGUUUCCGCCCUUCAGUGCUGCAGCUAACGCAUUAAGCAUUCCGCCU
This 841-nucleotide ribosomal RNA is filed under the name uncultured bacterium. RNAcentral's name for it is "bacterial SSU rRNA". It matches the Rfam family "Bacterial small subunit ribosomal RNA", at positions 65 to 874 of the family's 1533-position model. The record is from RNAcentral.